GCAGUCGAGGGGCAGCGGGGUAGCAAUACUGCCGGCGACCGGCAAACGGGUGCGGAACACGUACGCAACUUUCCUUUAAGUGGAGCAUAGCUCUCGGAAACGGGAAUUAAUACUCCGUAACAUUAUGAAGUGGCAUCAUUUUAUAAUUAUAGAUUAAUCGCUUAAAGAUGGGCGUGCGGCUGAUUAGGUAGUUGGUGCGGGUAACGGCCCACCAAGCCUUCGAUCAGUAACUGGUGUGAGAGCACGACCAGUCACACGGGCACUGAGACACGGGCCCGACUCCUACGGGAGGCAGCAGUAAGGAAUAUUGGUCAAUGGACGCAAGUCUGAACCAGCCAUGCCGCGUGAAGGAUGACGGCCCUCUGGGUUGUAAACUUCUUUUAUCUGGGACGAAAAACGGUCAUUCCUGAUCACUUGACGGUACCAGAGGAAUAAGCACCGGCUAACUCCGUGCCAGCAGCCGCGGUAAUACGGAGGGUGCAAGCGUUAUCCGGAUUUACUGGGUUUAAAGGGUGCGUAGGUGGGUAGGUAAGACAGUGGUGAAAUCUUCAAGCUUAACUUGGAAACUGCCAUUGAUACUAUUUAUCUUGAAUACUCUGGAGGUAAGCGGAAUAUGUCAUGUAGCGGUGAAAUGCUUAGAUAUGACAUAGAACACCAAUUGCGAAGGCAGCUUACUACAUAGUUAUUGACACUGAGGCACGAAAGCGUGGGGAUCAAACAGGAUUAGAUACCCUGGUAGUCCACGCCCUAAACGAUGGAUACUCGACAUAUGCGAUACACAGUAUGUGUCUGAGCGAAAGCAUUAAGUAUCCCACCUGGGAAGUACGAUCGCAAGAUUGAACUCAAAGGAAUUGACGGGGGUCCG
RNAcentral lists this ribosomal RNA (865 nucleotides) under uncultured bacterium. Its description in RNAcentral is "bacterial SSU rRNA". It matches the Rfam family "Bacterial small subunit ribosomal RNA", at positions 57 to 923 of the family's 1533-position model. The record is from RNAcentral.